Molecule: ribosomal RNA, 465 nt
Filed under: uncultured bacterium
Lineage: Bacteria
Description: partial 16S ribosomal RNA
Rfam family: Bacterial small subunit ribosomal RNA
Source: RNAcentral
GACGAACGCUGGCGGCGUGCUUAACACAUGCAAGUCGAGCGAGGCCCCUCCUUCGGGAGGGUGUCCUAGCGGCGAACGGGUGAGUAACACGUGGGCAACCUGCCCUCAGCUCUGGGAUAACUCCGGGAAACCGGGGCUAAUACCGGAUACGACCUCCACGGGCAUCUGCGGAGGUGGAAAGUUUUUCGGCUGAGGAUGGGCCCGCGGCCUAUCAGCUAGUUGGUGGGGUAGUGGCCCACCAAGGCGACGACGGGUAGCCGGCCUGAGAGGGCGACCGGCCACACUGGGACUGAGACACGGCCCGGACUCCUACGGGAGGCAGCAGUGGGGAAUAUUGCGCAAUGGGCGAAAGCCUGACGCAGCGACGCCGCGUGAGGGACGAAGGCCUUCGGGUUGUAAACCUCUUUCAGCAGGGACGAAGCGAAAGUGACGGUACCUGCAGAAGAAGCACCGGCCAACUACGUG